Molecule: ribosomal RNA, 460 nt
Filed under: uncultured bacterium
Lineage: Bacteria
Description: partial 16S ribosomal RNA
Rfam family: Bacterial small subunit ribosomal RNA
Source: RNAcentral
CCUACGGGUGGCAGCAGUGAGGAAUAUUGGUCAAUGGACGAGAGUCUGAACCAGCCAAGUAGCGUGAAGGAUGACUGCCCUGUGGGUUGUAAACUUCUUUUAUAAAGGAAUAAAACGAGGCACGUGUGCCUGUUUGCAUGUACUUGAUGAAUAAGGAUCGGCUAACUCCGUGCCAGCAGCCGCGGUAAUACGGAGGAUCCGAGCGUUAUCCGGAUUUAUUGGGUUUAAAGGGUGCGUAGAUGGGUUGUUAAGUCAGUUGUUAAAGUUUGCGGCUCAACCGUAAAAUUGCAAUUGAGACUGGCAGUCUUGAGUACAGUUGAGGUAGGCGGAAUUCGUGGUGUAGCGGUGAAAUGCUUAGAUAUCACGAAGAACCCCGAUUGCGAAGGCAGCUUACUAACCUGUGACUGACAUUGAUGCACGAAAGUGUGGGUAUCAAACAGGAUUAGAUACCCCUGUAGUC